UGACUAGUCUUUGAUGACAGUCUAUUGUAAACUCCGCCAGGACAGAAAUGUAGCAACGGUAGCAAUUAAGAUUGGGUAUCCUUGAUUAGUCAGCC
Molecule: non-coding RNA, 95 nt
Organism: Rhizobiales bacterium TMED168
Lineage: Bacteria; Pseudomonadati; Pseudomonadota; Alphaproteobacteria; Hyphomicrobiales
Source: Rfam